Molecule: ribosomal RNA, 471 nt
Filed under: uncultured bacterium
Lineage: Bacteria
Description: bacterial SSU rRNA
Rfam family: Bacterial small subunit ribosomal RNA
Source: RNAcentral
UGGGGAAUUUUGGACAAUGGGCGCAAGCCUGAUCCAGCCAUGCCGCGUGCGGGAAGAAGGCCUUCGGGUUGUAAACCGCUUUUGUCAGGGAAGAAACGCUCUGGGCUAAUACCCUGGGGUAAUGACGGUACCUGAAGAAUAAGCACCGGCUAACUACGUGCCAGCAGCCGCGGUAAUACGUAGGGUGCAAGCGUUAAUCGGAAUUACUGGGCGUAAAGCGUGCGCAGGCGGUUAUGCAAGACAGAUGUGAAAUCCCCGGGCUCAACCUGGGAACUGCAUUUGUGACUGUAUAGCUAGAGUACGGUAGAGGGGGAUGGAAUUCCGCGUGUAGCAGUGAAAUGCGUAGAUAUGCGGAGGAACACCGAUGGCGAAGGCAAUCCCCUGGACCUGUACUGACGCUCAUGCACGAAAGCGUGGGAGCAAACAGGAUUAGAUACCCGAGUAGUCCCUGAGCGGGCUGGCAAGGCGCAU